GCGGGGGUGGCGAAAUGGCAGACGCGCUAGGUUCAGGUCCUAGUGAUCGCAAGGUCGUGAGGGUUCAACUCCCUCUCCCCGCACCA
RNAcentral lists this transfer RNA (86 nucleotides) under Coprothermobacter sp. RNAcentral's name for it is "tRNA-Leu". It matches the Rfam family "tRNA". From Rfam's summary of the family: Transfer RNA (tRNA) molecules are approximately 80 nucleotides in length. Lineage: Bacteria; Pseudomonadati; Coprothermobacterota; Coprothermobacteria; Coprothermobacterales; Coprothermobacteraceae. The record is from RNAcentral. RNAcentral also lists the same sequence under 10 other names.